This is a long non-coding RNA of Elgaria multicarinata webbii, 223 nucleotides long. RefSeq lists it as uncharacterized. Lineage: Eukaryota; Metazoa; Chordata; Lepidosauria; Squamata; Anguidae. The transcript has 3 exons. The record is from RefSeq and is a predicted model, not a curated record.
CAUGGAAUAGACACAGCUUUUCUUUGGGGAUCUGCACUUAUGAUCGCUCCAGUUCUUCAAGAGGCAACAAAAUCAGUGGAUGUAUAUUUCCCAGAAGCACCCUGGUUUGAUUACUAUACGGGCGAGAAAGUAUCAGCUUCAUUGCACAAUAAGUACGUCAGCAUUAAUGCGCCACUGGAAAAGAUUCCACUGUUUAUACGAGGAGGAAACAUUUUGCCAACAC